Molecule: ribosomal RNA, 484 nt
Filed under: uncultured bacterium
Lineage: Bacteria
Description: partial 16S ribosomal RNA
Rfam family: Bacterial small subunit ribosomal RNA
Source: RNAcentral
AUUGAACGCUAGCGGGAUGCUUUACACAUGCAAGUCGAACGGCAGCGCGGACUUCGGUCUGGCGGCGAGUGGCGAACGGGUGAGUAAUGUAUCGGAACGUGCCCAGUAGCGGGGGAUAACUACGCGAAAGCGUAGCUAAUACCGCAUACGCCCUACGGGGGAAAGCAGGGGAUCGUAAGACCUUGCACUAUUGGAGCGGCCGAUAUCGGAUUAGCUAGUUGGUGAGGUAACGGCUCACCAAGGCGACGAUCCUUAGCUGGUUUGAGAGGACGACCAGCCACACUGGGACUGAGACACGGCCCAGACUCCUACGGGAGGCAGCAGUGGGGAAUUUUGGACAAUGGGGGCAACCCUGAUCCAGCCAUCCCGCGUGUGCGAUGAAGGCCUUCGGGUUGUAAAGCACUUUUGGCAGGAAAGAAACGUCGCGGGCUAAUACCCCGUGGAACUGACGGUACCUGCAGAAUAAGCACCGGCUAACUACGUG